UCGAGAAUCUUCGGCAAUGGGCGCAAGCCUGACCGAGCGACGCCGCGUGGAGGAUGAAGGCCUUCGGGUUGUAAACUCCUGUCGAGGGGGAAAAAGGCCCCGCAAGGGGCUUGAUUGAUCCCUGGAGGAAGCACGGGCUAAGUUCGUGCCAGCAGCCGCGGUAAGACGAACCGUGCGAACGUUAUUCGGAAUCACUGGGCUUAAAGCGCGUGUAGGCGGAUGAGCACGUCUGUCGCUGAAAUCCCCCGGCUCAACCGGGGAACGGGCGGAGAUACGGCUUGUCUGGAGGGGCGUAGGGGGACCUGGAACUUCCGGUGGAGCGGUGAAAUGCGUUGAGAUCGGAAGGAACGCCCGUGGCGAAAGCGAGGUCCUGGACGCCUACUGACGCUGAGACGCGAAAGCCAGGGGAGCGAACG
RNAcentral lists this ribosomal RNA (416 nucleotides) under uncultured Singulisphaera sp. Its description in RNAcentral is "bacterial SSU rRNA". It matches the Rfam family "Bacterial small subunit ribosomal RNA", at positions 355 to 774 of the family's 1533-position model. Lineage: Bacteria; Pseudomonadati; Planctomycetota; Planctomycetia; Isosphaerales; Isosphaeraceae. The record is from RNAcentral.